Molecule: long non-coding RNA, 746 nt
Organism: Tachysurus fulvidraco (yellow catfish)
Lineage: Eukaryota; Metazoa; Chordata; Actinopteri; Siluriformes; Bagridae
Exons: 4
Source: RefSeq, a predicted model, not a curated record
ACAAUAGAAUGCACACUCAAUGUGAUUCAAGGCAGGCUUUUAUACUUUUUUACUGUGGCCAGAUUUGGCUGUCAGGUUUGGUUGGCUUUGUGCCUUUUAGACGGCUACCAUCUUAUUUCAUAAAUACCUCUCGGUUUCCCAAACAUAUCUCACCAGCCGACUCUGUGUGCGCUGCUAAUGUCUUUUCUUUUCUAACGUCACGGUUAACACUUCUAUAUAUGGUCAUACUUCCUGCUACUUCUCAGGCUGUGAUUAUAUAGAACUGAAGUUGACAGGAACUUGACAGCAGGCUUUAAUUCAUUUUAAAGCUCACGUCAUGUUCUUGUGCUGUGUGUGUGUGUGUGUGUGUGUGUGUGUGUGUGUGUGUGUGUGUGUGUGUGUGUGUGUGUGCGCGUGUGCGUGUGCGUGUGCGUGUGUGUGUGUCUCUGCUCUUCCCCAUCGUCCCCGCAUUAUAAACUGUAAUGAAAGUGAAUGUUAGCAGCUCCAUUUUGUGUGGAGUGAAAACUAAAAGAUUUCAGGAGUAAAAACACAAAUGAUGGAGGGAAAGAGAUCAGACUCACCAGAACCCAGCUGUGUGUCCAUGAAGAGUGACGCAUCAAUGGGACAUCCAAUUGCCUUCAGAGACAGAGACAGUCCUACUGAUGUGAGACCACAAAACUCAAACAUCAUCAGAAAUCAGCUGGACUCUAUAUUCAAGGAGCUGGAACACAAAGUCAUCACUCUGAUAAAGAAUGAGCUGAAGAGGU